This is a long non-coding RNA of Pistacia vera, 1553 nucleotides long. RefSeq lists it as uncharacterized. The record is from RefSeq and is a predicted model, not a curated record. NCBI's taxonomy places the organism in Eukaryota, Viridiplantae, Streptophyta, Magnoliopsida, Sapindales, Anacardiaceae. The transcript is spliced from 2 exons.
CGAGGAAGCAGAAGAGAAAAUAUACUAUGAAAGAAAGAUCAGAGGGAUACACCGCAAUUGCGUAACACAUCCCUGCUGUGAGGUAGCUGUGACUUUCGAGAGGAGGAAAUCAACCCAGCAUGGCUUGUCAAUAGGGCAAAGAAGGUGGAGAUGAGUGAUUUCUUUAAACAUGAGCAUUUGGUCGAAGAGUUGCGAAUUGACAUUGACAAAAACUUGGAGCCUGAGCUUGAUCUUUGUCAGUGUUGUAUUUAUACGGUUCCCAAAGAUCUUCAUAGCGUAAAUGAAAAUGCCUACACUCCUAACUUGGUUUCAAUAGGUCCUCUUCACAAUGGAAAGGAAGAAUUAGCUAAAAUGGAAAAGAAAAAAAGAAAUUCUGUGAAAACUUUUUUUGAACGAAUGACAAUAGAGAAUCGAGAUGAAAUUUUAAAUUUCAUCAAGGAAAAUGAGCAAAAAGUCCGUAAUUGUUAUGCAGAGACAUCGAAACUUGGGAGCAUUGAGUAUGUAAUGAUGAUUCUAUAUGAUGCUAUAUUUAUCAUAGAGUUAUUCUUAAGGAAUACCUUUAAUUUUCAUGGAAUUGAUAUUUUACUAUCUACACCAAUGCUAUGUGUAUCCAUAUGUAGGGACUUUCUAUUACUCGAAAAUCAACUUCCAUAUUUCAUCCUCGAGGAAAUAUGGAAGUUAGCUCUUGUAGUAGGCCCUAACAUGUGUACCUUCAUGGAGCUUUCAUGUUCUUUUUUCAAUUUGUUUCCUGGUUAUGAAUUGUGUACCCCUUCGGUGGUAGUUAAACAUUUAACUGAUUGGAGAAGAACUACUAUAUUGGAAGACUACCAAAGAUCUCCGCAGAUCCAUGGAUGGAUUCGUGAUUUAUCUUGCGUAGUGAAGUUGCAUGAGUUUGGAGUGAAGUUUAAGUGUUCUCUAGAACGCGGCUUAAUGAACAUAAGAUUCCUAAAACAAAAGCAUUGAAUCUCAUGUUUUGAUGAAUGUGAGAUGCAAAUACCACAUUUACAAAUAUUCGAAGACACUGAAAGUUUACUUAGAAACGUUAUGGCUUUGGAGCAGUGUCAUUAUCCACAAGAUACUCAAGUUUGCAAUUAUGUUGUGCUACUAUACUCUCUUAUUGAUACUGAAAAAGAUGUGGACUUGCUUUUUGAAAAUGGAAUUAUUUCCAAUUAUGUUACGGGCGAGAAUGCUUCAGUAGCAGUUAUGUUUAACAAACUUGGCCUAUUUAUCAGUUGUAGCAAAUCCUCUUACUUUGACAUUUGCGAGGCACUAAAGAGUCACUGUAACAAUCCAUUGAACAAAACAAUUUUGAAAGUGUAUUUCAACAGUAUUUGGGGAGGCACACAACUGUUGCAGCAAUUAUACUACUACUGCUUACUAUCAUACAAACCAUAUGUACUAUUUUGCAAGUCGUGUUUAUGUAAUUUAUAUUUGGAAGUUGUGUUUAUGUAAUUUAUAUUUGCAAGUUGUGUGACUGUACUGUAAUUUUGUAUUGAAGCUUGUUGUCUUAAUAAUGUAAAAUGCUUGCUAUGUAUUUCAUUAUUUCUCAUUCA